RNAcentral lists this unclassified non-coding RNA (214 nucleotides) under Hevea brasiliensis (rubber tree). Lineage: Eukaryota; Viridiplantae; Streptophyta; Magnoliopsida; Malpighiales; Euphorbiaceae. The record is from RNAcentral.
UAGUUUCCAAGCCUAAAACGGAGCUGUUCAAGGUCAGGGCGACGGCAGUGCCGGAGAAUGCUGAUGAGGGCGAGAAAUCGAGUAGCAUGAUCAAGACUUUGGAGCUUGGAUUGUUGUUUGGGCUUUGGUUUCUUUUCAAUAUAUAUUUCAAUAUCUACAACAAGCAGGUUUUGAAGGUCUAUCCGUACCCAGUAACUGUUACUGUAGUUCAGUU